This 257-nucleotide ribosomal RNA is filed under the name uncultured prokaryote. RNAcentral describes it as "partial 16S ribosomal RNA". It matches the Rfam family "Bacterial small subunit ribosomal RNA", at positions 524 to 780 of the family's 1533-position model. The record is from RNAcentral.
UACGUAGGUGGCGAGCGUUAUCCGGAAUUAUUGGGCGUAAAGAGCGCGCAGGUGGUUGAUUAAGUCUGAUGUGAAAGCCCACGGCUUAACCGUGGAGGGUCAUUGGAAACUGGUCGACUUGAGUGCAGAAGAGGGAAGUGGAAUUCCAUGUGUAGCGGUGAAAUGCGUAGAGAUAUGGAGGAACACCAGUGGCGAAGGCGGCUUCCUGGUCUGUAACUGACACUGAGGCGCGAAAGCGUGGGGAGCAAGCAGGAUUA